UGGGGAAUAUUGGACAAUGGGCGGAAGCCUGAUCCAGCAACGCCGCGUGAGGGAUGACGGCCUUCGGGUUGUAAACCUCUUUCAGCACAGACGAAGCGCAAGUGACGGUAUGUGCAGAAGAAGGACCGGCCAACUACGUG
This 140-nucleotide ribosomal RNA is filed under the name uncultured bacterium. RNAcentral's name for it is "partial 16S rRNA". It matches the Rfam family "Bacterial small subunit ribosomal RNA", at positions 355 to 507 of the family's 1533-position model. The record is from RNAcentral.